Molecule: ribosomal RNA, 889 nt
Filed under: Lactarius tabidus
Lineage: Eukaryota; Fungi; Basidiomycota; Agaricomycetes; Russulales; Russulaceae
Description: eukaryotic LSU rRNA
Rfam family: Eukaryotic large subunit ribosomal RNA
Source: RNAcentral
GGAUUCCCCUAGUAACUGCGAGUGAAGCGGGAAAAGCUCAAAUUUAAAAUCUGGCGGUCCUUGGCCGUCCGAGUUGUAAUUUAGAGAAGCGUCUUCCGCGCUGGACCGUGCACAAGUCUCCUGGAAUGGAGCGUCAUAGAGGGUGAGAAUCCCGUCUUUGGCACGGAUGCCUGGUGCUUCUGUGAUGCGCUCUCGAAGAGUCGAGUUGUUUGGGAAUGCAGCUCAAAAUGGGUGGUGAACUCCAUCUAAAGCUAAAUAUUGGCGAGAGACCGAUAGCGAACAAGUACCGUGAGGGAAAGAUGAAAAGCACUUUGGAAAGAGAGUGAAACAGUACGUGAAAUUGUUGAAAGGGAAACGCUUGAAGUCAGUCGCGUCGACCGAGACUCAGCCUUGCCUUGGCUUGGUGUACUUCUCGGGCUGACGGGUCAGCAUCAAUUUUGCACCUCGGAUAAUGGCAAGGGAAAGGUGGCACCUUUACGGGUGUGUUAUAGUCUCCUGUCGCAUGCGAGGGGUGGGAUUGAGGAACUCAGCRCGCACCUCAGUGUCGGGGCUUCGGCCCACGUCACGUGCUUAGGAUGCUGGCGUAAUGGCUUUAAACGACCCGUCUUGAAACACGGACCAAGGAGUCCAACACGCCCGCGAGUGUUCGGGUGGAAAACCCGUGCGCGUAAUGAAAGUGAAAGUUGGGACCUCUGUCGUGGAGGGCACCGACGCCCGGACCAGACCUUCUGUGACGGAUCUGCGGUAGAGCGUGUGUGUUGGGACCCGAAAGAUGGUGAACUAUGCCUGAAUAGGGUGAAGCCAGAGGAAACUCUGGUGGAGGCUCGUAGCGAUUCUGACGUGCAAAUCGAUCGUCAAAUUUGGGUAUAGGGGCGAAAGACUAAUCGAA